UCGGGCAGAGCUGCCGCAGGAGGGAGAGAGCGGCCGGUGCUAGGGGCAGCGCCAUGGCCGAGAGAUGCGACGUGGUCGUGGUCGGGGGCGGCAUCUCAGGUCUUUCAGCAGCCAAACUACUGACUGAGUCAGGCUUGAAUGUGGUAUUGCUGGAAGCCAAUGAUAGAGUUGGUGGAAGAACUUUCACCGUAAGGAAUAAGCAAGUUAAAUAUGUGGACCUUGGAGGAGCCUAUGUGGGGCCAACACAGAAUCGUCUCCUGCGGUUAUCUAAAGAGUUAGGAAUAGAGACGUAUAAAGUGAAUGAAGAGGAGAACCUGAUACACCAUGUCAAGGGUAAGUCUUACCCCUUUAAAGGUACAUUCCCUCCUAUGUGGAAUCCGCUGGCAUACCUGGACUACAACAAUCUGUGGAGGACCAUGGAUGAAAUGGGAAAGGAGAUUCCUAGUGAAGCCCCGUGGAAAGCUCCACAUGCAGAAGAAUGGGACAAAAUGACGAUGCAAGAUCUCAUAGAUAAAAUUUGCUGGACAAAUGCUGCCAAGAGUUUUGCAACUCUGUUUGUGAAUGUGGAUGUCACUUCUGAGCCCCACGAGGUCUCUGCCCUUUGGUUUUUGUGGUAUGUGAAGCAGUGUGGGGGGACAACAAGGAUAUUUUCAACAUCCAACGGAGGACAGGAGAGGAAGUUUGUUGGGGGCACUAGCCAGAUCAGUGAGAAAAUAAUGGAGCGCCUGGGAGGCCGGGUGAAGCUGAGGAAACCAGUCAUCCGCAUCGACCAGUCGGGUGAAAGUGUCAUAGUGGAAACCUUAGAUCAUGAAUUAUAUGAGGGUAAAUAUGUGAUCAGUGCCAUUCCCCCAGCUCUUUGUUUGAAGAUUCAUUUCAACCCACCUUUGCCCCCAAUGAGAAACCAGCUCAUCAACCGAAUCCCCAUGGGCUCAGUCAUCAAGUGCAUUGUAUACUAUAAGGAAACUUUCUGGAGGAAAAAGGGAUAUUGUGGUACCAUGAUCAUUGAAGAUGAAGAUGCUGCAGUUGAUUUAACACUUGAUGAUACUAAGCCUGAUGGCAGCUUUCCUGCCAUAAUAGGCUUCAUUCUCGCUCGGAAGUGUAGAAGACUAACAGGUCUCACGAAAGAAGAAAGGAAGACGAGGCUGUGUGAGCUCUAUGCAAAGGUUCUGGGAUCAGAGGAAGCUUUAUAUCCAGUGCAUUACGAAGAGAAGAAUUGGUGUGAAGAGCAGUAUUCUGGGGGUUGCUACACAGCCUACUUCCCACCAGGCAUAAUGACUCAGUAUGGAAGGAUUAUUCGUCAGCCUGUUGGCAGGAUCUAUUUUGCUGGCACAGAGACAGCCACUGAGUGGAGCGGAUACAUGGAGGGGGCAAUACAAGCUGGAGAGAGAGCAGCCAGAGAGAUACUGUUUGCUAUGAGGAAAAUCCCAGACAGUGAAAUUUGGAAGCCAGAACCUGAAUCAGUUGAUGUUCCAGCUUUACCCAUCACUACCACCUUCUGGGAGAGGAACUUGCCAUCUGUGCCGGGACUGCUCAAGCUGAUUGGAUGUUCCACUGUCAUCACCUCUCUGGCUGCAGCUGGGUUAUUGGCCUACAAAAAGGGACUUCUACUUAGGAACUGAAGAAAGGAUACUCUGCCAAAUGUUACCACCUUGAGGACUUUAUCCAGAUCUCGGAACAGAAGUGGCAAAAUACCUCUGUAAAGACUGUUCUGAUGAGAUUUCCAGUUGUUUUUACACUUAAUGUCUGUACCAGACUCUGAACUCCAAGACAUCACAGGCACUUCCAUCACUAGUUGUAUUACAAAGGAUUUCUGUCUUUUUUCUGUGUGGUAGACUGAGUAAAGAAAUCCAUAGCUUAAACACCAUGUCUUGCUACAGUUAUGCUGUGGAGCUUGUCACCACCGUGGGAUUAAAAAGAAGGAUUUGCUGCUGUUCCCUCAACAACUUCCACAUAAAAGGAAUAUGUGGCACUGUGUGUAUGUGGAUGCCAGUGAUGAGAAAAAUGACAAAUGUAGGUACAGAAUCAAGUUGCUUCACCAUGGGUAGAGGGAACUGUUAGGUCUGGCUCACAUUUGAAAAAUCCCUUUGUGCCAACCCUUCAAAGAGAGGAAUGAAAUCCGACUGAGCAGGUAACUAGUCCUGCUAUAUUAGUUGAUUUACAUGUUUGAUGAGAAAUCUGCUGUCACGGAAGUUUCAGCAGUUUACUGGCUUCCUACUAUGUAUUAUAAGAACAACCAUGGAAAUAAUUGUA
RNA transcript from Colius striatus (speckled mousebird), 2250 nucleotides. It is a transcript of the gene named amine oxidase [flavin-containing] B, with no coding region annotated. The record is from RefSeq and is a predicted model, not a curated record. Lineage: Eukaryota; Metazoa; Chordata; Aves; Coliiformes; Coliidae. The transcript is spliced from 17 exons.